CAGGGCAUAGCUCAGUGGUAGAGUGUUGUGCUUAACAUGCAUGAGGUCCUGGGUUCAAUCCCCAGGACCUUCA
Molecule: transfer RNA, 73 nt
Filed under: Camelus bactrianus (Bactrian camel)
Lineage: Eukaryota; Metazoa; Chordata; Mammalia; Artiodactyla; Camelidae
Also listed under: 2 other names
Rfam family: tRNA
About the family: Transfer RNA (tRNA) molecules are approximately 80 nucleotides in length.
Source: Rfam by way of RNAcentral